GUGUUCACUUUGGCAACACAUACACUAAAAUUGGAACGAUACAGAGAUUAGCAUGGCCCCUGCCCAAGGAUGACACGCAAAUUCGUGAAGCGUUCCAUAUUUAA
Small nuclear RNA from Dipodomys ordii (Ord's kangaroo rat), 104 nucleotides. The record is from Ensembl. NCBI's taxonomy places the organism in Eukaryota, Metazoa, Chordata, Mammalia, Rodentia, Heteromyidae.